RNAcentral lists this ribosomal RNA (301 nucleotides) under uncultured bacterium. RNAcentral describes it as "bacterial SSU rRNA". It matches the Rfam family "Bacterial small subunit ribosomal RNA", at positions 334 to 627 of the family's 1533-position model. The record is from RNAcentral.
AACGCCUACGGGACGCAGCAGUAGGGAAUCUUCCACAAUGGGCGAAAGCCUGAUGGAGCAACGCCGCGUGGGUGAAGAAGGUCUUCGGAUCGUAAAACCCUGUUGUUAGAGAAGAAAGUGCGUGAGAGUAACUGUUCACGUUUCGACGGUAUCUAACCAGAAAGCCCCGGCUAACUACGUGCCAGCAGCCGCGGUAAUACGUAGGUGGCAAGCGUUCUCCGGAUUUAUUGGGCGUAAAGGGAACGCAGGCGGUCUUUUACGUCUGAUGUGAAAGCCUUCGGCUUAACCGGAGUCGUGCCUU